This 217-nucleotide ribosomal RNA is filed under the name uncultured bacterium. RNAcentral's name for it is "partial 16S ribosomal RNA". It matches the Rfam family "Bacterial small subunit ribosomal RNA", at positions 524 to 740 of the family's 1533-position model. The record is from RNAcentral.
GACAGAGGCCUCAAGCGUUAGGCGGAAUCACUGGGCUUAAAGCGUGUGUAGGCGGAUCGUUAAGUGUCUUGUGAAAUCCCACGGCUCACCCGUGGAACUGCUGGGCAUACUGGCGAUCUUGGGCCAACUAGGGGCAACUGGAACAAGCGGUGGAGCGGUGAAAUGCGUAGAUAUCGCUUGGAACGCCAAAGGUGAAAACAGGUUGCUGGGGUUGUGC